GUUUGAUCAUGGCUCAGAUUGAACGCUGGCGGCAGGCCUAACACAUGCAAGUCGAACGGUAACAGGAAGCAGCUUGCUGCUUCGCUGACGAGUGGCGGACGGGUGAGUAAUGUCUGGGAAGCUGCCUGAUGGAGGGGGAUAACUACUGGAAACGGUAGCUAAUACCGCAUAAUGUCGCAAGACCAAAGAGGGGGACCUUCGGGCCUCUUGCCAUCGGAUGUGCCCAGAUGGGAUUAGCUUGUUGGUGGGGUAACGGCUCACCAAGGCGACGAUCCCUAGCUGGUCUGAGAGGAUGACCAGCCACACUGGAACUGAGACACGGUCCAGACUCCUACGGGAGGCAGCAGUGGGGAAUAUUGCACAAUGGGCGCAAGCCUGAUGCAGCCAUGCCGCGUGUAUGAAGAAGGCCUUCGGGUUGUAAAGUACUUUCAGCGGGGAGGAAGGGAGUAAAGUUAAUACCUUUGCUCAUUGACGUUACCCGCAGAAGAAGCACCGGCUAACUCCGUGCCAGCAGCCGCGGUAAUACGGAGGGUGCAAGCGUUAAUCGGAAUUACUGGGCGUAAAGCGCACGCAGGCGGUUUGUUAAGUCAGAUGUGAAAUCCCCGGGCUCAACCUGGGAACUGCAUCUGAUACUGGCAAGCUUGAGUCUCGUAGAGGGGGGUAGAAUUCCAGGUGUAGCGGUGAAAUGCGUAGAGAUCUGGAGGAAUACCGGUGGCGAAGGCGGCCCCCUGGACGAAGACUGACGCUCAGGUGCGAAAGCGUGGGGAGCAAACAGGAUUAGAUACCCUGGUAGUCCACGCCGUAAACGAUGUCGACUUGGAGGUUGUGCCCUUGAGGCGUGGCUUCCGGAGCUAACGCGUUAAGUCGACCGCCUGGGGAGUACGGCCGCAAGGUUAAAACUCAAAUGAAUUGACGGGGGCCCGCACAAGCGGUGGAGCAUGUGGUUUAAUUCGAUGCAACGCGAAGAACCUUACCUGGUCUUGACAUCCACGGAAGUUUUCAGAGAUGAGAAUGUGCCUUCGGGAACCGUGAGACAGGUGCUGCAUGGCUGUCGUCAGCUCGUGUUGUGAAAUGUUGGGUUAAGUCCCGCAACGAGCGCAACCCUUAUCCUUUGUUGCCAGCGGUCCGGCCGGGAACUCAAAGGAGACUGCCAGUGAUAAACUGGAGGAAGGUGGGGAUGACGUCAAGUCAUCAUGGCCCUUACGACCAGGGCUACACACGUGCUACAAUGGCGCAUACAAAGAGAAGCGACCUCGCGAGAGCAAGCGGACCUCAUAAAGUGCGUCGUAGUCCGGAUUGGAGUCUGCAACUCGACUCCAUGAAGUCGGAAUCGCUAGUAAUCGUGGAUCAGAAUGCCACGGUGAAUACGUUCCCGGGCCUUGUACACACCGCCCGUCACACCAUGGGAGUGGGUUGCAAAAGAAGUAGGUAGCUUAACCUUCGGGAGGGCGCUUACCACUUUGUGAUUCAUGACUGGGGUGAAGUCGUAACAAGGUAACC
RNAcentral lists this ribosomal RNA (1500 nucleotides) under uncultured Shigella sp. Its description in RNAcentral is "16S ribosomal RNA". It matches the Rfam family "Bacterial small subunit ribosomal RNA". Lineage: Bacteria; Pseudomonadati; Pseudomonadota; Gammaproteobacteria; Enterobacterales; Enterobacteriaceae. The record is from RNAcentral.